Molecule: long non-coding RNA, 1139 nt
Organism: Rhinopithecus roxellana (golden snub-nosed monkey)
Lineage: Eukaryota; Metazoa; Chordata; Mammalia; Primates; Cercopithecidae
Exons: 3
Source: RefSeq, a predicted model, not a curated record
ACAGUGUGAAGCUUUGUGCUUUCACUGUUUGCAAUAAAUCUUGUUGCUGCUCACUCUUGGGGUCCAUACAGCUUUUAUGAGCUGUAAGACUCACUGGGAAGGUCUGCAACUUCUCUCCUGAGGCCAGCGAGACCAGGAACCCACUGGGAGGUAUGAACAACUCCAGACAGGAGAAACGAGUAACUCUAUACCACCUUAAGAGCUGUAACACUGAACUUUGAAAGUAUGUAGCUUCACUGCUGAAACCAGCAAGACCACGAACCCACCAGAAGGAAGAAACUGAACACGUCUGAACAUCAGAAGGAACAAACUCCAGACCCACCACUUUUAAGAACUGUAACACUCACCACGAGGGUCCACGGCUUCAUUCUUUAAGUCAGUGAGACCAAGAACCCACCAAUUCCAGACAGCAGGAUAAGAAAGAAAGGAAAAUGGGGACUUGUGUUACACAUGAUUUGAAAGAUGGUUGAAUCCAUGGAUGUGGAACCCACAGAUAUGGAGGGCUGACUUUGUUCAACUAUGCUAAUCCUUUGGCCGGGUCACAUUCCUGUACCUCAGCUACUUUAUAAUCUGAAAGCUGUUACUGCAUGGAAAGACCCAUUCCUCUCAGGCCACCAACAAUGGUACCAAGAGAAGUGGAGCACUUCUAUAAGAUAGCUGAACAUAUGAAAGCAACUUUGGAUAACAGGAAGAGGUUAGAAUGCUUUGGAGGGCUCAGAAGAAGAAAGGAGGAUGUGGAAAAGUGUGGAAUUUCCUAGAGACCUAUUGAAUGCUUUUUACCAAAAUUCUGAUCGUGACAUGGACAAUGAAAUCCAGGUGGAGGUGGUCUCGGAUGGAAAUGAAGAGCUUACUGGGAGCUGGAGUAAAGGUCACUCUUCCUCUGCUUUAGCAAAGAGACUGAAUACAUUUUGCUUCUUCCCCACAGAUCCCUAGAGAUCUGUGGAACUUUGAACUUGAGAGAGAUGAUUUAGGGUAUCUGGUGGAAGAAAUAUCUAAGCAGCAAAGCAUCUGAGAUGUGACCUGUCUCCAAAAGUGUAUAGUCAUAUGUGUUCACAAAGAGAUGGUCUGAAAUUGGAACUUCUGUUUAAAAGGGAAACAGAACAUAAAUAUCUGGAAAAUUUGCAGCCUGACCAUGUGGU